UACGUAGGCAGCAAGCGUUGUUCGGAGUUACUGGGCGUAAAGGGUGUGUAGGCGGUUCUUUAAGUUUGGGGUGAAAUCUCCCGGCUCAACCGGGAGGGUGCGCCGAAUACUGAGGGACUCGAGUGCGGGAGAGGAAAGUGGAAUUCCUGGUGUAGCGGUGAAAUGCGUAGAUAUCAGGAGGAACACCGGUGGUGUAGACGGCAUCCUGGACCGACACUGACGCUGAGGAGCGAAAGCCAGGGGAGCAAACGGG
This 253-nucleotide ribosomal RNA is filed under the name uncultured bacterium. RNAcentral's name for it is "partial 16S ribosomal RNA". It matches the Rfam family "Bacterial small subunit ribosomal RNA", at positions 524 to 776 of the family's 1533-position model. The record is from RNAcentral.